This 840-nucleotide ribosomal RNA is filed under the name Triticum aestivum (bread wheat). RNAcentral describes it as "partial small subunit ribosomal RNA". The record is from RNAcentral. Lineage: Eukaryota; Viridiplantae; Streptophyta; Magnoliopsida; Poales; Poaceae.
AUGCUCCUCCGGUCGCCGCCGCGGCGCCUCCACCUGCUCCGCCCGCACCGGCUUCGCGCUCUCUCCAACGCUGCCGCCGCGGCCCUCGCGGGCCCGCCCCCCGCCCCGACCGAGUGGACGGAGGCGCCCGUCGCCUCGGUCCGCGCGGCCACCGCCGACGCCUCCCUCUUCCACGUCUCCCUCGACCUCUCCGCCCACGGGCCCCUCCUCGCCUCCCACGUCGCCGCCGGCCAGUUCCUCCCCUUCCGCCUCCCCUCCGCGCCCUACCCCAUCUUCCUCGCCAUCUCCUCCCCUCCCCCGGCCUCCUCCUCCGGGUCUCCUCCCAAAUCGUUCGAUUUCCUCGUCAAGCGCCUCCCCGGCACCCCCUCCGCGCGCCUCUGCGACCUCCGCCCCGGCGACCUCGUCCCCGUCGGCGGCAGCGUCGUCGGCCGCGGGUUCGAGGUAAGCAGGAUCGCCGACGCCCGCGACGUCCUCGUCUUCGCCACCGGAUCCGGGAUCAGUCCAAUCCGGUCACUCAUUGAGUCAGGUUUUGGUGAAAGUGAGAAGAUUGAUGUAAGCCUGUUUUAUGGGGUGAGAAACCUUCAAAGGAUGGCUUAUCAGGAAAGGUUCAGUGACUGGGAAUCGAGAGGAAUAAAAAUUAUACCUGUUCUCUCUAGACCAGAUGAUCAAUGGACUGGCCAGCGAGGCUAUGUUCAGAAUGCAUUUUCAAGGGCAAAGAAGGUUAUAAAUCCAUCAUCGACGGGAGCAAUUUUGUGUGGACAUAAACAGAUGACUGAGGAAAUUACUAGAGCUCUUGUUGCUGAUGGUAUGUCCAAAGAUAAAAUCUUAACAAACUUCUGA